AGUAACACGUGGGUAAUCUACCCUUGAGUUUGGGAUAAGCCUGGGAAACUGGGUCUAAUACCGAAUGAUACCCUUAGGUGGCAUCACCUGAGGAUCAAAGGCGGGGCAACCUGCCGCUUGGGGAUGAGCCCGCGUUCCAUUAGCUUGAUGGUGGGGUAACGGCCUACCAUGGCUGCGAUGGAUAGCCGGCCUGAGAGGGUGGACGGCCACACUGGGACUGAGAUACGGCCCAG
This 233-nucleotide ribosomal RNA is filed under the name uncultured bacterium. Its description in RNAcentral is "partial 16S ribosomal RNA". It matches the Rfam family "Bacterial small subunit ribosomal RNA", at positions 109 to 334 of the family's 1533-position model. The record is from RNAcentral.